UACGAAGGGGGCUAGCGUUGUUCGGAAUUACUGGGCGUAAAGGGCGCGUAGGCGGCACGAUUAGUCAGAAGUGAAAUCCCCGGGCUCAACCUGGGAACCGCUUUUGAUACUGUCGAGCUAGAGUUUCGGAGAGGAUGGUGGAAUUCCCAGUGUAGAGGUGAAAUUCGUAGAUAUUGGGAAGAACACCGGCGGCGAAGGCGGCCAUCUGGACGAACACUGACGCUGAGGCGCGAAAGCGUGGGGAGCAAACAGG
This 253-nucleotide ribosomal RNA is filed under the name uncultured Azospirillum sp. Its description in RNAcentral is "partial 16S ribosomal RNA". It matches the Rfam family "Bacterial small subunit ribosomal RNA", at positions 524 to 776 of the family's 1533-position model. The record is from RNAcentral. Lineage: Bacteria; Pseudomonadati; Pseudomonadota; Alphaproteobacteria; Rhodospirillales; Azospirillaceae.